AAUGAGAGGGAUUUAUACAAAACUGGGGGUAUAAUCCCUUAGUCUAGACAGGGACAGAUCCAGGGUUGGAGAAAAGUACAGGGAAGGGUAUAUUCUGGUUCAUUAUGAAAAGGGGAGAUAUAACCUCUACCCCCUGAAUCUGCCUGCACUGCUAGCAAUAGUAUUCAUAUAAGGUUGCAACAGAAUCCUCCUAAAUUAUUGAAAAUAAUCAUUCUGCACUGACAAUAAUAUUUCGGUGUAAAUUAUAUAAAAAUUACACCCAGUCAUCCGAUACUUAACGCCCUCAAGGUGAUAUCUUAAAACAUUAAUUUACAUUUUUGUA
RNAcentral lists this long non-coding RNA (322 nucleotides) under Mytilus galloprovincialis (Mediterranean mussel). The record is from RNAcentral. Lineage: Eukaryota; Metazoa; Mollusca; Bivalvia; Mytilida; Mytilidae.